Molecule: ribosomal RNA, 521 nt
Filed under: fungal sp. ZH B2-1
Lineage: Eukaryota; Fungi
Description: eukaryotic LSU rRNA
Rfam family: 5.8S ribosomal RNA (bases 130-283)
Source: RNAcentral
CUCAUAACCCUUUGUGAACCUUCAUACCUGUUGCUUCGGCGGCGCGCCUCCCGGGGCGUGCCCGCCGGCAUUAUCAGAAUCUCUGUUCGAACCCGACGAUACUUCUGAGUGUUCUAAGCGAACUGUUAAAACUUUCAACAACGGAUCUCUUGGCUCCAGCAUCGAUGAAGAACGCAGCGAAACGCGAUAUGUAAUGUGAAUUGCAGAAUUCAGUGAAUCAUCGAAUCUUUGAACGCACAUGGCGCCUUCCAGUAUCCUGGGAGGCAUGCCUGUCCGAGCGUCGUUUCAACCCUCGAGCCCCCGUGGCCCGGCGUUGGGGACCUGCCCAGGCAGUCCCCGAAAACCAGUGGCGGACCCGACGGGCCCUUCCUUUGCGUAGUAACAUCUGCCUCGCAUCGGGAGCCCCCGGGCUAUCCGGCCUCUAAACCCCCCUCAAGCCCGCUCCGGCGGCACCAAGGUUGACCUCGGAUCAGGUAGGAAUACCCGCUGAACUUAAGCAUAUCAAUAAGUCCGGAGGAAGG